RNAcentral lists this ribosomal RNA (253 nucleotides) under uncultured bacterium. Its description in RNAcentral is "partial 16S ribosomal RNA". It matches the Rfam family "Bacterial small subunit ribosomal RNA", at positions 524 to 776 of the family's 1533-position model. The record is from RNAcentral.
UACGUAGGGUGCAGGCGUUAAUCGGAAUUACUGGGCGUAAAGCGUGCGCAGGCGGUUUGCUAAGACAGGUGUGAAAUCCCUGGGCUCAACCCAGGAACUGCGUCCGAUACUGGCAGGCUUGAAUUCGGGAGAGGGAUGCGGAAUUCCAGGUGUAGCGGUGAAAUGCGUAGAUAUCUGGAGGAACACCGGUGGCGAAGGCGGCAUCCUGGACCGAUAUUGACGCUGAGGCGCGAAAGCCAGGGGAGCAAACGGG